RNAcentral lists this ribosomal RNA (66 nucleotides) under uncultured Pezizaceae. RNAcentral's name for it is "partial 5.8S ribosomal RNA". It matches the Rfam family "5.8S ribosomal RNA", at positions 49 to 114 of the family's 154-position model. From Rfam's summary of the family: 5.8S ribosomal RNA (5.8S rRNA) is a component of the large subunit of the eukaryotic ribosome. It is transcribed by RNA polymerase I as part of the 45S precursor that also contains 18S and 28S rRNA. Functionally, it is thought that 5.8S rRNA may be involved in ribosome translocation. The record is from RNAcentral. Lineage: Eukaryota; Fungi; Ascomycota; Pezizomycetes; Pezizales; Pezizaceae.
UGAAAUGCGAUAAGUAAUGUGAAUUGCAGAAUCUCGUGAAUCUUUGAAUCUUUGAACACACAUUGC